Triticum aestivum (bread wheat) is the source of this 2183-nucleotide long non-coding RNA. RefSeq lists it as uncharacterized. Lineage: Eukaryota; Viridiplantae; Streptophyta; Magnoliopsida; Poales; Poaceae. The transcript has 8 exons. The record is from RefSeq and is a predicted model, not a curated record.
UCGGCUCCUUGCGCGCCACGCGUGAGACGUGUGUUGGGCGUGAACCCUAGCCCCCCAAUCUAGAGCCGCCACACCUCCCCCCUCCUCCUUCCCUCGUCCGCCGCCGCACUUCCUCCCUCCUCCCUCGUCGCCACACCCUCCACCCUAGCACCGCGCGCUCGUUCUGUCGUCGCAUAUACCAUCGCUGCCGGCCCCUGCCAUGGUGUCGCGGCGCUCUUCCUGCGCCCUCGCGUCCGACCUCACCAGGUCCUCGAUCUCGGCCUCAUCGGCUUGCUGCGGCGGCCGCUCUCGACGCCGUCCUUGCGACACGACAGCGGCAAACCCGAGCGCCGACAACUAAUGUGGUGGUGCAGCGGACGGCAGCCUCAGCGGGCGAGCGACGGAGACUGCAACUGGUGCACAAGCUCGCACCUCAAUGCGUCCGUGCUUGAAUAGCUCGCAUCUUCACGGCCACCAAGUGCACAGGCCAGUAGUUAAAUUUUCUGUGGAUGAGUCCUUGUCGGAUGGAUGGUGACUAACGAGAUGCACUCCUUUGCCACAAGUAAUUUUAAUAAAGGGAUUGUGUACAAGUGUUCAGAUCUUUUCUUGUGAGAAGGAUGCACAAAAUCAAGUUUUUUGUCGGUAGGAGCUUUUUUCGCUGUCCAACUGUUCAGUUCCACUGGAACAAGGGGUCCACUGGACUUCUAUUGUUUCCGAACUUGAUGUGGAUAAAAUCAACCAGAGUAUUAUGGUGAAACCAAGUUUCACCACUUGACAACUUACAGGGCCUUUCAAGGAAUUGUUCCUGUCAAAAAUGAGGGGCCAAUGUAUGAUGUUCAGUGGUCUUCUUCAGGUUCUGAAUUUGUUGUGGUCUAUGGAUAUAUCCUUACAUCGUCCUUACAUGAACCAUAACAUUUCUGGUUUAAUGUCUUUGUUUUCUACAAUUGUUCCUUGACUAAAUCUUGGUUAGGCCGGCCAGAGCACCAAUAUUCAGCCAAAAAUGCAAUCCUCUUCACGAGCUUGGUGAAGGCCAUUAUAAUACGAUAAGAUGGAAUCCUGAAGGGCGAUUUUAAGAAGAUGUGUUGAAAAGCUGUAUCAGCAUAAAAAUGGAGAAACAAAGAAGUAAUGUUCCAGUAUAUUUGCAGAGGUGAAAUAUUAACGCCAGUUCGAGCGCACCGGCCUCGAUGGCAAGAGACCACUACCAUCAGUGUAGUGGUAUAGCAUACUGUGAGCAAUCAGGAACAAAAACAGGAGGUUUAAUUUUCACAAAUCGGUACUGCAUAUUUUUCAGAAGAUAUGCAUUGUGAUUGAACAUGAGAAAUCCUUUACCUCCCUAUACUUCAAGGUGUGUUCUGCUCUAAAAUGACAAGCACCCAACGAAGUGAGAGCGCAAACCACAUGUUGAAGAGUUAUAUGCCACCUGCUAGCCCGAUGCACAUUUUUGUGAGGCAGUAUAUGAGGCUCCAGUUUGACCAUGGGAAGGAGGAAAGUUACGAAAGGACUAUUUGUCAGAAAAACUGAUGUAUCUGUUUGUUAUUCACCAUUGCUGAUUAAUUUUCAAUUUUUCAUUCUCAGUAAAACUGAUGUGUGCUGAUGGUGGCAGGGAGGUGUCGUGAGGAGAGCAAAUCUGGCAAAUGGCAAUAGAGCAGCAUGCAAGCAAAGUGUACACUUGUGCUAUGUUUUGGAGCCCCGUCGAAAGGUUUGGAGGCCCAGGAAGGUAGUGUUGGGGCGUCCGUCGGCGUGAAUGCGCUUCAAUGACUAGCACCACCGGAGUAGCAGAGAGGUGUAGGGAGGCCGUCGAACAGCCGGGAGAAAGCACCACACGAGGGUCUGAGCAAGCAUACCAGGUUUUGCAGCAUCUGCCCCCGUGAAGGCCACAAGCCGACGACAUGCCCUGAUCGUGGAGAAGCACCUAAAGAGCCCCGCAAACCCGGAAAGUGCAAGAACUGUUGAAUGGAAAGGCGCCGCAGGAACACGUGCACACGCCUACUGGGUGGUGCACAUAUGUAGUCUAGAAGAUUUAAAAUUUCGUGUGUAAUGUGUGAUUCAAGAAUUUUCUGGUGUGUGUUGUGAGCCAUGCUCCACGAUUGUUCCUCCAGUGCUUAAUCUUAGUGCUGUUGUAUUCCAUAGUGUUGUAUGGUAAGUCCGUAACUCAACAGAACUUCACAAUUAUGAUAGAAAAAAUGUUGGGCGUGAUAUCUACA